CACCAUACUCUUAGACCUCUCUCUCUUUUCACUCUCGUAUUCUAUGCCUUCCUAAAAUUGUUGCCACCACACCGGAAAUCGCCUCUGGCUGCGGCGCGGCCCAGAACAAACCCAAACCACCAUCAAUUAACUCCUUUAUUCACACUCUCUUCAUUUCUGUAACUUGAUUAAUCUAUAACUCACCCCAGGGCCUCAAAUCAUAAGGGAAAACAUAAACGCUAACUUUCUUAGAACUGAAAGUAAACCCUAACUACUUCAUGAUUCAAUCAACAAGGGUAAAGGUUACAACCUGAUUGAUGCACAUAACAAGGUGGUGAAAAUAAAUUGAAGAGAAACUGAGGGAUUGGACACCUACUAAUGAGACAGAUUUGUCUCGGCCGUUGUUGCAAAGCGAAGUAAAAUCAUGGAGAUAAGAAAACCAGAGGAAAUCGUUAUUCCCUUAGUUUGUUCCAAUUUCAAAUUGUCCUCUUCUUCUUCUUUAUUCUUUUUUAUUUAUCAUAUUUUGCUUCUCUUGUUGUUAUUGUUGAGUUUAGGAUGUUGUAGUAGGUGUGAGUGAAAAUAGAUUGAAGGGUGUGCAGGGCGAUGAUGAUGAGGUCUAGCUCGAUUCUCUCAGAGCUUCAAGGUGAAGUUUUGAUGAGUUUUGUGGAGAGCUUAAGGGUACUAUGGUGGGUCAAAAAUGAUGCAAAGAUGAUGGCAUGGUGAGACUAUGAGCUUAUGAUGAGUAAUGUGAAGUCAAGGUGAUGUUGACAUUGUUUGGUCUUGAUGUUGCAAGUAUUGAGGCAUAGUAGGCUGGUGCAAGUCCCUUUUUGUAGGUUGGGCAUGAUUCUUUGACAUGAGCAUUGGAUGCAUGGCCUUGAACAUUAGAAGGUACAUUGUGCAAUGAUCAUGAUGAAGAUUGGUGAAAUGGAGGAUCACGAUUAAGAAGAAUAGGUUUAGGGUCAACUUAGGGUCAAACUUUGGUCAACUAUUUGACCAAAAGUCGACAUUUAACCAAAAGUCAAUUGUAGGUCAAACUUGGUUUUUUUUCAUGUAUUCUUCCAUUUUUCAUAUAAUUGUACUUGUAUUUGACUUGGAAUUUUAACUUGUAUUGUAACUUGGCAUUGAUUUGUAAUGAUAACUUGUUUUUCAAGUAA
This is a long non-coding RNA of Lathyrus oleraceus (garden pea), 1133 nucleotides long. RefSeq lists it as uncharacterized. The record is from RefSeq and is a predicted model, not a curated record. Lineage: Eukaryota; Viridiplantae; Streptophyta; Magnoliopsida; Fabales; Fabaceae. The transcript is spliced from 2 exons.